This 394-nucleotide ribosomal RNA is filed under the name uncultured bacterium. Its description in RNAcentral is "partial 16S ribosomal RNA". It matches the Rfam family "Bacterial small subunit ribosomal RNA", at positions 523 to 918 of the family's 1533-position model. The record is from RNAcentral.
AUACGUAGGGGGCUAGCGUUAUCCGGAAUUACUGGGCGUAAAGGGUGCGUAGGUGGUUUCUUAAGUCAGAAGUGAAAGGCUACGGCUCAACCGUAGUAAGCUUUUGAAACUAAGAGACUUGAGUGCAGGAGAGGAGAGUAGAAUUCCUAGUGUAGCGGUGAAAUGCGUAGAUAUUAGGAGGAAUACCAGUUGCGAAGGCGGUUCCCUGGACUUUAACUGACACUUAGGCACGAAAGCGUGGGGAGCAAACAGGAUUAGAUACCCUGGUAGUCCACGCCGUAAACGAUGAGUACUAGCUGUCGGGGGUUACCCCCCUCGGUGGCGCAGCUAACGCAUUAAGUACUCCGCCUGGGAAGUACGCUCGCAAGAGUGAAACUCAAAUGAAUUGACGGGG